RNAcentral lists this ribosomal RNA (2903 nucleotides) under Cronobacter sakazakii. RNAcentral's name for it is "23S ribosomal RNA". It matches the Rfam family "Bacterial large subunit ribosomal RNA". Lineage: Bacteria; Pseudomonadati; Pseudomonadota; Gammaproteobacteria; Enterobacterales; Enterobacteriaceae. The record is from RNAcentral.
GGUUAAGCGAACAAGCGUACACGGUGGAUGCCCUGGCAGUCAGAGGCGAUGAAGGACGUGCUAAUCUGCGAAAAGCGCCGGUAAGGUGAUAUGAACCGUUAUAACCGGCGAUGUCCGAAUGGGGAAACCCGGUGCACUUCGGUGCAUCAUCGUUAGCUGAAUACAUAGGCUAACGAGGCGAACCGGGGGAACUGAAACAUCUAAGUACCCCGAGGAAAAGAAAUCAACCGAGAUUCCCCCAGUAGCGGCGAGCGAACGGGGAACAGCCCAGAGCCUGAAUCAGCUUGUGUGUCAGUGGAACGGUCUGGAAAGGCCGGCGAUACAGGGUGACAGCCCCGUACACGAAGGCACACAGGCUGUGAGCUCGAUGAGUAGGGCGGGACACGUGAUAUCCUGUCUGAAGAUGGGGGGACCAUCCUCCAAGGCUAAAUACUCCUGACUGACCGAUAGUGAACCAGUACCGUGAGGGAAAGGCGAAAAGAACCCCGGCGAGGGGAGUGAAACAGAACCUGAAACCGUGUACGUACAAGCAGUGGGAGCCUUCGUAAGAGGGUGACUGCGUACCUUUUGUAUAAUGGGUCAGCGACUUAUAUUCUGUAGCAAGGUUAACCGUAUAGGGGAGCCGAAGGGAAACCGAGUCUUAAUUGGGCGUUAAGUUGCAGGGUAUAGACCCGAAACCCGGUGAUCUAGCCAUGGGCAGGUUGAAGGUUGGGUAACACUAACUGGAGGACCGAACCGACUAAUGUUGAAAAAUUAGCGGAUGACCUGUGGCUGGGGGUGAAAGGCCAAUCAAACCGGGAGAUAGCUGGUUCUCCCCGAAAGCUAUUUAGGUAGCGCCUCGUGAACUCAUCUCCGGGGGUAGAGCACUGUUUCGGCUAGGGGGCCAUCCCGGCUUACCAACCCGAUGCAAACUGCGAAUACCGGAGAAUGUUAUCACGGGAGACACACGGCGGGUGCUAACGUCCGUCGUGAAGAGGGAAACAACCCAGACCGCCAGCUAAGGUCCCAAAGUCAUGGUUAAGUGGGAAACGAUGUGGGAAGGCCCAGACAGCCAGGAUGUUGGCUUAGAAGCAGCCAUCAUUUAAAGAAAGCGUAAUAGCUCACUGGUCGAGUCGGCCUGCGCGGAAGAUGUAACGGGGCUAAACCAUGCACCGAAGCUGCGGCAGCGACGCUUAUGCGUUGUUGGGUAGGGGAGCGUUCUGUAAGCCUGCGAAGGUGUGCUGUGAGGCAUGCUGGAGGUAUCAGAAGUGCGAAUGCUGACAUAAGUAACGAUAAAGCGGGUGAAAAGCCCGCUCGCCGGAAGACCAAGGGUUCCUGUCCAACGUUAAUCGGGGCAGGGUGAGUCGACCCCUAAGGCGAGGCCGAAAGGCGUAGUCGAUGGGAAACAGGUUAAUAUUCCUGUACUUGGUGUUACUGCGAAGGGGGGACGGAGAAGGCUAUGUCGGCCGGGCGACGGUUGUCCCGGUUUAAGCGUGUAGGCUGACUUUCCAGGCAAAUCCGGAAAGUUAAGGCUGAGGCGUGAUGACGAGGCACUACGGUGCUGAAGUGACAAAUGCCCUGCUUCCAGGAAAAGCCUCUAAGCAUCAGGUAACAUCAAAUCGUACCCCAAACCGACACAGGUGGUCAGGUAGAGAAUACCAAGGCGCUUGAGAGAACUCGGGUGAAGGAACUAGGCAAAAUGGUGCCGUAACUUCGGGAGAAGGCACGCUGACAUGUAGGUGAAGCCCCUGCGGGUGGAGCUGAAGUCAGUCGAAGAUACCAGCUGGCUGCAACUGUUUAUUAAAAACACAGCACUGUGCAAACACGAAAGUGGACGUAUACGGUGUGACGCCUGCCCGGUGCCGGAAGGUUAAUUGAUGGGGUUAUCGCAAGAGAAGCUCCUGAUCGAAGCCCCGGUAAACGGCGGCCGUAACUAUAACGGUCCUAAGGUAGCGAAAUUCCUUGUCGGGUAAGUUCCGACCUGCACGAAUGGCGUAAUGAUGGCCAGGCUGUCUCCACCCGAGACUCAGUGAAAUUGAACUCGCUGUGAAGAUGCAGUGUACCCGCGGCAAGACGGAAAGACCCCGUGAACCUUUACUACAGCUUGACACUGAACAUUGAGCCUUGAUGUGUAGGAUAGGUGGGAGGCUUUGAAGCGUGGACGCCAGUCUGCGUGGAGCCGACCUUGAAAUACCACCCUUUAAUGUUUGAUGUUCUAACCUGGCGCCGUGAUCCGGCGUGGGGACAGUGUCUGGUGGGUAGUUUGACUGGGGCGGUCUCCUCCCAAAGUGUAACGGAGGAGCACGAAGGUCAGCUAAUCCUGGUCGGACAUCAGGAGGUUAGUGCAAUGGCAUAAGCUGGCUUGACUGCGAGAGUGACGGCUCGAGCAGGUGCGAAAGCAGGUCAUAGUGAUCCGGUGGUUCUGUAUGGAAGGGCCAUCGCUCAACGGAUAAAAGGUACUCCGGGGAUAACAGGCUGAUACCGCCCAAGAGUUCAUAUCGACGGCGGUGUUUGGCACCUCGAUGUCGGCUCAUCACAUCCUGGGGCUGAAGUAGGUCCCAAGGGUAUGGCUGUUCGCCAUUUAAAGUGGUACGCGAGCUGGGUUUAGAACGUCGUGAGACAGUUCGGUCCCUAUCUGCCGUGGGCGCUGGAGAAUUGAGGGGGGCUGCUCCCAGUACGAGAGGACCGGAGUGGACGCAUCACUGGUGUUCGGGUUGUCAUGCCAAUGGCACUGCCCGGUAGCUAAAUGCGGAAGAGAUAAGUGCUGAAAGCAUCUAAGCACGAAACUUGCCCCGAGAUGAGUUCUCCCUGAGACUAUAAGUCUCCUGAAGGAACGUUGAAGACGACGACGUUGAUAGGCCGGGUGUGUAAGCGCAGCGAUGCGUUGAGCUAACCGGUACUAAUGAACCGUGAGGCUUAACCUU